CAUAUCAAAAGCGGAGGAAAAGAAACCAACAGGGAUUGCCUCAGUAGCGGCGAGUGAAGCGGCAAGAGCUCAGAUUUGAAAUCGUGCUUUGCGGCACGAGUUGUAGAUUGCAGGUUGGAGUCUGUGUGGAAGGCGGUGUCCAAGUCCCUUGGAACAGGGCGCCCAGGAGGGUGAGAGCCCCGUGGGAUGCCGGCGGAAGCAGUGAGGCCCUUCUGACGAGUCGAGUUGUUUGGGAAUGCAGCUCCAAGCGGGUGGUAAAUUCCAUCUAAGGCUAAAUACUGGCGAGAGACCGAUAGCGAACAAGUACUGUGAAGGAAAGAUGAAAAGCACUUUGAAAAGAGAGUGAAACAGCACGUGAAAUUGUUGAAAGGGAAGGGUAUUGCGCCCGACAUGGGGAUUGCGCACCGCUGCCUCUCGUGGGCGGCGCUCUGGGCUUUCCCUGGGCCAGCAUCGGUUCUUGCUGCAGGAGAAGGGGUUCUGGAACGUGGCUCUUCGGAGUGUUAUAGCCAGGGCCAGAUGCUGCGUGCGGGGACCGAGGACUGCGGCCGUGUAGGUCACGGAUGCUGGCAGAACGGCGCAACACCGCCCGUCUUGAAACACGGA
RNAcentral lists this ribosomal RNA (603 nucleotides) under Pichia kudriavzevii. RNAcentral describes it as "eukaryotic LSU rRNA". It matches the Rfam family "Eukaryotic large subunit ribosomal RNA", at positions 39 to 665 of the family's 3401-position model. Lineage: Eukaryota; Fungi; Ascomycota; Pichiomycetes; Pichiales; Pichiaceae. The record is from RNAcentral.